ACAAGGUAAUCCAAGCCCUUCCCUUUUGUGGCCUCACUCUCGUCGCUGUUCCCUGACUCUCGUGGCCUCCCUCUAGCCGUCGACUGGCCCUCUCGUCACCGGAGCACCUAUGAAAUUAUUGCAUCCAUAAAGUAGCCAUGAAGAUGCACCCAACUUUCUAUUUUUCACUCUUCCGAACUUAUUGAAACGACAAGAUAUGAUUAAGAGAAGGCCAUACUGCAGCAAUACAAUCAUACUUUUCAAAAAUACAAGCACAAUGCUCGGGAUUUUAUUUUAGUAUGGAUUUGGAUGACGAUUCACGACUGAGAAACGUAUUCUGGGUAGAUAAUCAAUGUAGGCUAGCAUGCAAGGAGUUUGGUGAUGUGGUUACUUUUGAUACCACUUAUCUUACUAAUAAGUAUGAUAUGCCAUUCGCCCCAUUCGUUGGCGUCAAUCAUCACGGAGAGUCAACAUUACUUGGUUGUGGAUUGGUGUCGAAUGAAGACACCGAUACCUUCGUAUGGUUGUUCAGAACAUGGCUUCAGUGUAUGUAUGGUGAAGCUCUACAUGCCAUAAUUAUGGAUUAAGAUAGAGCAAUGCAAAAUACAAUUGAGAUUAUCCUCCCGAACACAAAGCAUAGAUGAUGUUUGCGGCAUAUUUUAAAAAAGCUCCUAGAAAAGUUUGGAUACCAUGUCGAUAAGAGUUUUAUAUUUGGGGCUAUACAUUCGUUAGUGUAUGAUUCCAUGUCGGAACAAGAAUUUGAAGAAGGUUAGAUGGCGAUGAUUAACACCUAUAGCUUGCAGAAAAAUAAUUUGUUGUCAGGAUUAUAUGAGAAUAAAGGGCGUUGGGUGCCUUGUUUUUUGAAAACCACUUUUUGGGUAGGAAUGUCAACAAUACAUAAACGUGUUAUUCGAUGGAUAUGUGCAUUCGAAGACAUCGUUGAAGCAUUCGUCGAACAGUACGAACGUGCUCUGUGGAAUAAGGUCCAGAAGGAGUUCCAAACUAAUUUCAAGUUGUUCUCUCAAAUGAUACCAUGUGCAAUACAAUUCGAAAUGGAUGAACAAUUUCAGUCAAUUUACACUAUAUCAAAAUUCAAGGAAGUUCAAGAAGAGUUCACAGGUCAGGUCUACUGUACCAUCAUAUCUACGUUGGAAAGAUCUUAUGAUACGACGUACAAUGUAUGGAAGACUAUUAUGUAUGACAGUCAUCACAAGAGAAAAACAUCCGUCGUCUCAUUUGUGAGAGAUAAUUGUGAAGUUGUUUAUAGCUGCCACUUGUUUGAGUUUAGGUGAAUACUAUGUAGGCAUGCAAUAGCAGUUCUAGACUGGAAUGACGUCACAUGUAUUCCGAAGAGGUAUAUUUUGCGGAGAUGGAAGAGGGAUGUUCGUAGAGUACACACGAGAGUUACAGUAAACUAUACUGGGUUAGCUACUACUCCUGCACAAUUGAGAUACGAAGAGAUGUCUAAAGGAUUUGCAUAGGUGGCAGACCUUGCUACAGACGAUGAAAUGCAGUCACGUGUAAUAAUGAAGUAGAUAAAAUGUCAAUGUGAAGAUAUGAUGACCACAAAAUCUGGUGGUUGUAGUAAUCCUAUAUCGCAGUGUACCAUACAGGUGUCCAAUGAUUGUGUGGACGUAUCAAAAUCUGCAAGCGGAAGCAUACUUGAUCCGAAAUUGGCUCGAUGAAAGGAUGCACCUAGGAAAUUUAGAAAAAAAAGCUCAUUGGAGAUGGCAUCGAAGAAAGCAAAGUCUGGCGGGACAUCAACCACAAAUAUGCCACCAAGAAAUAGCAAUACGAAUAUGGCUGAUGAUGCAAUGAACUUUUAGUUGGCUCAGCAAUAUUCCAUGUCGACUCCGACAUCGUACUUGCACAAUGAUGUCCUUGUCACAACUGUCCAUGCAGACACCGUUCUCCCUUUCGCAAAAUUUGCCGUUUGCAAAUUUGGUCCCUCCAGCCGCGACUAAUGUUAUGCAAAGUUCGCAAGGUCAACCAUUGUCGAACUUCUAUCAAAAUUUAUUGGAUCAUGGUGGCAGUGGCUUAUGACUGAAGCGAGGGCUUUAUAUUUUGUACUAGUGGAAUUUUUUGAAAUAUUUGUUUCAUUUCACACACAAGUAAUUGUAUUUUGGCAACAUUGUAGUGCUCUAUUUAUUUCAAAUCACGGGCUGUAUUUUGUACUAUCUUGCUGUAGUAAUUGCUAUGGUUGGUUAUC
Long non-coding RNA from Olea europaea var. sylvestris, 2188 nucleotides. RefSeq lists it as uncharacterized. The transcript is spliced from 4 exons. NCBI's taxonomy places the organism in Eukaryota, Viridiplantae, Streptophyta, Magnoliopsida, Lamiales, Oleaceae. The record is from RefSeq and is a predicted model, not a curated record.